RNAcentral lists this ribosomal RNA (253 nucleotides) under uncultured bacterium. Its description in RNAcentral is "partial 16S ribosomal RNA". It matches the Rfam family "Bacterial small subunit ribosomal RNA", at positions 524 to 776 of the family's 1533-position model. The record is from RNAcentral.
GACGUAGGAUGCGAGCGUUGUCCGGAUUUAUUGGGCGUAAAGAGUUCGUAGGUGGUUCGCUAAGUCUGAUGUUAAAGACUGGGGCUCAACCCUGGGGGUGCAUUGGAUACUGGUGGACUGGAGUGCAGUAGAGGCAAGCGGAAUUCCCAGUGUAGCGGUGAAAUGCGUAGAUAUUGGGAAGAACACCGGUGGCGCAAGCGGCUUGCUGGGCUGUAACUGACGCUGAGGAACGAAAGCUAGGGGAGCGAAUGGG